Non-coding RNA from Myotis davidii, 76 nucleotides. The record is from Rfam. NCBI's taxonomy places the organism in Eukaryota, Metazoa, Chordata, Mammalia, Chiroptera, Vespertilionidae.
CAUGGGGGCGGGGGGAGUCCCUUGGCCCAGAUUGCGAGAGGGUGCAGGCCAGGUCAAGGGACCCCACCAGUGUAUG